Molecule: long non-coding RNA, 1269 nt
Organism: Equus caballus (horse)
Lineage: Eukaryota; Metazoa; Chordata; Mammalia; Perissodactyla; Equidae
Source: Ensembl
GAAGAAACAAUGGAGGGAAUUUGAUAGAGCAAAAAUGUUGGUGGGUCCUGGAGAGAGGGGCCCUGCCCCCUGUUUCCUAUUCUCAAGAACAGCUCCAGAGAGGCAGCAAGGGAACGACUGUGAGAAAUAUUUGCACAGAUGAGUCCACAUAGUCUCCUCCAAUUUCCUGUCCUUCCAGCACAGAAGCAGCAGAAAGACUUCUGCGCAAUGCUGAAGCUGCAGAAAGAUUCGAGAUCUUCAGGAGGGCAGCGACAAUGGUAAAGCCAAGUGGAGGGAGCUGAAUGCAGAGCAAAUGACAUUACUGGAAAUUUCAGCUUUUAACUCUGACGAGGCUCUGCCAAUACCUGGAUCCAGAUAAGUGUGAGUACUACAUUGGAACACAAGGCCUGACUACAGACUAGAAGUGGCUCCAGAAGCACUUCAUCUUCUGUGGCUAAGAAACAGGAUCUGUUCUGAGAAAAACCAACAUCUGUAACCACACGUUAAGAGUGCAUAAAUUCACACACACAUACAUCACAACAACAACAACAACAACAACUUUCUUUGAAAGAGGGGCGAGUGAUGUAGUUAUAAUCUCUCACUAUUGGAGAGUUUCUGAAACAUGUUCACAUCUCCUACCUCAUUUGAUCCUCCCCCAAAUGCAGUUUGGAAUAAGGCAUGCAGCCACUACAAGUCCUGUUUCACAGAUGAAGUGGGUGAGGUUUAGAAAAGCCAAGGGCCUAGCUCAAGGUCACAAGUUACUGGGUGGCGGAGCAGGGACGUGAGCCCAGGUGUCCGAGUCCUGUGCCAUUGGGGACCCACUUGACUAAUGCAGGGUAUUAGAGUUAAGUGGGUAAGGGGUCUUGAAACAUUUGCCCAUUUUUCAGGCAUUUGACCUAAACCACAGAAAAGGGAAAAACUAGUGACCUAAGGUCACAUAAAGAGUCACACAAGCAGAAAAUUGAAGAAAGAAUGAAGUCUAACUCCAGUCCAUGUUUACAACAAAUCCUCCUCCUAUCAAGAGCCAGUACCUUUAAAAAGGAAUCUCUUCUUCUCAAAAGAACCAGAGACAUUUCCAAAUGUUUUCCCCUUGAUUAAAAUCCUAGGUAUAAAAAGCAGGAAAUGUUUAUGCUCAAAAAACAAGGCUCCUCUGUAUUGAGCAAAUGGGAAUCCUUUGAUUCAAUCUGAAAUUUCUUUUCUAGGUAUGGUUACGUGGUUUUUUAAAAGAAAUAAAAAUGGAGAACGUUCAAUGCUUUAAAUACCACCUUUCUCUCUCUCAGUUUGCUUGCU